Molecule: ribosomal RNA, 253 nt
Filed under: uncultured bacterium
Lineage: Bacteria
Description: partial 16S ribosomal RNA
Rfam family: Bacterial small subunit ribosomal RNA
Source: RNAcentral
UACGUAGGUGGCGAGCGUUGUCCGGAAUUACUGGGCGUAAAGGGUGCGUAGGCGGAAAUUUAAGUCAGAUGUGAAAUCCCUGAGCUCAACUCGGGAAUGGCAUUUGAAACUGGGUUUCUAGAGUGCACGAGAGGAAGGCCGAAGUCCUAGUGUAGCGGUGAAAUGCGUAGAUAUUAGGAAGAACACCAGUGGCGAAGGCGGCUUUCUGGACUGUAACUGACGCUGAGUCCCGAAAGCGUGGGGAGCUACCAGG